This 2751-nucleotide long non-coding RNA is filed under the name Sus scrofa (pig). RNAcentral's name for it is "lncRNA (ENSSSCG00005023455.1)". The record is from RNAcentral. Lineage: Eukaryota; Metazoa; Chordata; Mammalia; Artiodactyla; Suidae.
UACAGAGGCUUCUCUAAGUAGCUAGCGCACAAUCCACGCCCACAAGGAUGGGCCGAGCAGCAUGACACUGACAGUUUUCGGUCCCUCACGAUCUUUCCAACUCUCGGCACCGCCGCACAACUCAGAAAAAGACCACAUGGCCUGUUCUGCCAAGUCUCACCGGCUAAAGAAAACCCCAAAAUUAGUCCUGAUGGUCCUAGACCGAGAGAUAGAAGAGCGGGCUUGGGGGUGGAGAUGAGUCCGCCCCGAAGAGUCACCAAUCAGCUGUCGUCCAGCCGCCAGAAGAGCAAGUUAAUACUACACAGCUUGGAAGAGACCAGUUCCCAAACAUGCCAGCGGAGAAAUUCAGCCUAGACUCCAGGAGUGCUUGAGGCUUUUAUGACUUCUGGACGUCAAAAAGGGUCUUUUGUGACUGGAUGCUUACCUCACCAGUGUGUGGUUAGCGUCAAAGGCACAAUGAUAUUGAUUUAAAGCCUGUGGAUAACAACAUAAGCUGAUUUUUCUAUCUUAAAACUCUUAGCCAAGAACACUCCUGUCACAGGUGCUGGUACUAGGCCCGCAAAUAAACCACCCAGGUUUUAUUUGCCUCAGUUUUAAAACAGUGGCUAAAAAGCAUUAAAUUUCCUAGUCAACUGGGAAUGACAGGUCUAAAUAACAAAUGGUACUUGAACCGCACUAAGUUGUGUGGGCGUAGAGAAACUUCAGCAAAAGCUUUUGUCAUGUUUAACCCCUGUGUACAGAUAUUUUUCAUGGGAUUUUUCUAUUUAGUUACAUACACAUUUUAAAAUAAUUUUUAAAGUGUCCAUUAUUUUUAAAGAGUAUAAUCAUUUUAAUAUGCUAUGUUUAAACCUUGACACCAAACAGGUUAAGUAAAAGAAAGUGAGCAUAGUAUCUACUUGGUAAGAAUAAUUUAUUAUACUGGAAGCUAUCAGAUGACUCACUGUGGAGUUCCUUAACUGCUAAAAUCUUUAGUUCCAGCCUUGUAAAUGUGAGGGGAAGGGAACCAAAGUUUCUUCUUGUGUAAUCUGGGUCACUUUACAAAUCUAAAAGAAAAUGAGAAGAAAACAUUUUAUCUAUUUUGGCAUGAAAAUUUAACCAUUUUGUUUUUCAUCCUUUGCAAUUCAAAGUUUUGUUUGUUUAAAAAAAGGCCUGUGCAGUUAUGCAAAUACAUCUCCCCACCUCAGGAUGAUCUCUUCCUAAGAGAAUAAGGAAUUAUUUUCUACUCGCUAAUAAUUUGUUUUGUAGUUUUAAUUGAACUGUCAAGAUCUAAUGUAAAUGGGACAAAAAUAGAAGGGGAGAAGAGAAGAGCUAGCUGGGUGCAAUAGAUUCCAAAAAACCUAUUCCUGAGACAAAAAUUCCCUAGGUAAUUGAUCUAGAAGAUGAGAAGUUUUGAUUGACAAGGGGAGAAAUAAUGGAAUCAUCAACUCUCUUAGUCCUCCCAACAACCUUUUAAGGUGUCAGUUUUCAAUUGAAUCAACUGAAAAGUAGAAAAAUUAUACAAUAUAUUGUUGAAGGUAAUACUAUAAUACUUCUUCCUUUAUAUUAAAUGAUAAGACUUUGUCAGAUACAGUGAGAAGAGACAUUAGAAACAGAAAUAAGCAUGUGCACCAUAAGGGUCAUUCCAAAUAUUUAUUGAGGAUAAGACCCUGUGUUAAAUGCUAAGGAUACAGAGAUAAAUGAAACAAUUGUCCUAAAGCAGCUGACACUACUGAGAGAAACCUGCAAGAAAACAAAAAAUGCAAUAUAAGGUAAAUAAAUGUUGUAGUACAGGCUAAUGUUAAUGAUACGCAUCCAGAAGGGAUGUGGGAAAGCCAAUGAAGGUGAUGCUUUAACUGAGUCCCAAUAUUGUAGAGUUAUCCCCUAUUAAUCCUAAAUAGUUCUGGGAUAGGUUCAGGAAGUGAAAUCUAAAGAACAAAGAAGAUGAGCAAGGAAACUAUUCUGGGAAAAGGAAUUUGAAAAGGUCUAAUCCAACAAAUAAGUGAGUCACAUUAGAUAAAUGAAAAUUGCAAGAGAUAGGUACUAUGAGAGCUUACAUUAGGGUCAUUCACUGAUCUUGUCAGAAAAGGUGAGCCAUCCUUGAGGAGGUCCCACUGGAAUAGAGGUCUAAAGGAUGAGAAUCUAAAGAAAGGAGAAGAGAAAACAGAGGGAACAUGCACAAAGGCCUUUUUUCAGGAGGAAAGUAGCUUCAGACUCAAAGGAGGCCACUGUGGCUAGAGAAUAGUUAGCUAAAGAACAGACUAAGCAGGACUUGAUUGGCCAUACUGAGAACCUUCAUCUUUUUCUUGAGAGAAGUUUGGGGGAAGGGAUUUGACCUGAUCAGAUCUGUGUUUUGAAAAGAUCAUUCCAGUUGCAGUUAGGAACCUGAACAGGGCCAGCCUUGGAUCAGUUAGGAUCUAUGGGUCAUGGUUGGUGUUGGUGGUAAGUGGCUCAAGUGGACUGGGAUGGGCACAAGGGAAAAUGGAACAAUUUAGGAAGUAAAAUGGGAGGUCUUAGGAAUUAAUUUAGAUAUGGUGGAGUGGAAUGAAUGGGGAUUGAAGGAGAGGAAGAAGCCAGAAGUGGCAGGACCUCAGGAGUUCCCAUUGUGGCUCAGCAGUUAACAAAACUGACUAGUAUCCAUGAGGAUGUGGGCAAAUAUGGCUAGGAUCCUGAGUUCCUGUGGCUGUGGUGUAGGCUGGCAGCUGCAGCUCUAAUUGAACCCCUAGGCUGAGAACUUCCAUUUGCUGUGGGUGUGGUCCUAAAAAGCAAACAAAC